CUAUACUUAAAAUAAUAUACAGUAAAAGAAUGUUCAGGUUUAGAAAUCCAUACUCCAGUUAUACUUCAUACAUACUUCAGUUAUAGAAGGGGAAAUUUUUAGAAAUCAAAGUAACACUGAGCAAUAAUAACCUGUCUACAAUCUUUAUUGCUACAUUACUCUGGAACUCAGGGAGUACAAAACUGAAACCAAAACAUAUGGAAACCAGGGAGCACUAAUACUCAAGGAGAGCACACAUUUCAUGACCGCAAGGAUUCAAACAUCAAACUGAUUUGAGCCUAUUGUUACGUUUCGGUGUUGUCAGUGUGUUGUUUUUGGCGUGACUGUUAUGUGUUUCCUGUUUUACUUUGAAAGUCUGUGUUAUCUUAGUGUUUUCAGGUUACGUUUCCCUGUCUCGUCAGUUCUGAGUUGCCCCAGCUGUUUCCCUCUUGUUGUCCAUUUUCCUGAUUGCUCCCUCUAGGUAUUUAAACCCUGUGUUUCAGUGUGUCAUGGUUGUGAUCUCCCCCGUGUUGUAAAUAGUUUGGUGUUUUGUUGUAAAUAAAUAGUUUGUUUUAAAUAGCUGUAAAUAGAUUUGUCGAUACUUUCGUUUUCGGAUUUUGGUGGAGAGCCUUAGUGGGGUUUUUUCUGUGGGGUUUUUUUUCUUCUUUAUUUUUACUUUUUUCGUGUUGCACUCCGGCAGUCCUGUUUGUUUAUUAAUUACCAGCGGAUGUCACAUAAAAAGAGAUCAUGUCAAAGUCAGAGGUUAAAGUGGGACACUGUUUUACUGUUUUUGCCACAACACCAGAGCGACUGCAGGUGUCUGUUAGGCACGGUUGCAGUACUUCAGCAUCUAGCUAGCUCUGCUGAAGAGGAGUGAGCAUAAAGGGAGUAACAUUUGCUGUCAGGUAAUUUCAAAUGUAAUGUUUCUAUGAGUUCAACAAACAUCAGCAAACACACAAACUGUUUGUGUCCAGCUGCUUAUUUCACAGGGAGAGAAAAGAAAGAGCUAACCUCACUCAGAGAUGGAGAAAGAUAAGAAAGACAGGAGAGGAAGAAGAGAGCUUAGAUUUAAAGGGAAGGAUGAUCAGGAGAAAUGUAAAGCUCACAUGUAAGUCGUCAUGUUUUUAAAUCAGCUCUUGGGUCUGUACAUGUGACAUUAUGUUUUUUCAUAUUGUGAAACCUGCUGCUAAACAAAC
Molecule: long non-coding RNA, 1175 nt
Organism: Astatotilapia calliptera (eastern happy)
Lineage: Eukaryota; Metazoa; Chordata; Actinopteri; Cichliformes; Cichlidae
Source: Ensembl